Molecule: long non-coding RNA, 1579 nt
Organism: Zonotrichia albicollis (white-throated sparrow)
Lineage: Eukaryota; Metazoa; Chordata; Aves; Passeriformes; Passerellidae
Source: Ensembl
ACAGGCCACGCCCCCACCCUUGUCAUAUAGGGCAUUACGCCCCACCCUCACCUCAAUCUCCGCCCCUUUUUCCAUAUUUGGCCACUCCCACCUAUGCCCCACCCCUCUAUUACCAUAUAUGGUGCCAAAUCCCCAAGCCCCGCCCUUCUGUGGCCAUUUAUGGGCAGGCCACGCCCACAACUCCGAAUAAGGACAAGCCCCGCCCCUUUCUCCCAGGUUCGUGGCCGAUCUCCUCAAUGACGUCGCCCUGGUGCUGGAAAUCCUCGCUCCCUAUUGGCUGAGCUUUGGCCCCGCCCUCCUGGUCAUGGCGGCCGCGGCCAGGGUGGGACUGGGAGGGAACUGGGAGGGAACUGGGAUAAACUGGGAGGGACUGGGAUAAACUGGGAUGGACUGGGAGGGACUGGGAUGGACUGAGAGGGAACUGGAAGGGAACUGGGAGGCACUGGGAUAUACUGGGAUAUACUGGGAUAUACUGGGAUAAACUGGGAUGGACUGGGCGGGACUGGGAGGGAACUGGGAUAUACUGGGUUAUACUGGGAGGGAACUGGGAGGGACUGGGAUAAACUGGGACGAAACUGGGAGGGAACUGGGAUAUACUGGCAUAUACUGGGAGUGGACUGGGAAUGGACUGGGAGGGACUGGGAGGGACUGGGACAAAGUGGGUGGGACUGGGAUGGAACUGGGAUAUACUGGGAGGGACUGGGAUAUACUGGGAGGGACGGGGAUAUACUGGGAUGUACUGGGAAUGGACUGGGAUAUACUGGGAUAUACUGAGACAAACUGGGAUGGACUGGGAGGGACUGAGAUUUACUGGGAAUGUACUGGAAGGGAACUGGGACGGACUGGGAUAAACUGGGAAUGGACUGGGAUAAACUGGGAUGGACUGGGAAUGGACUGGGAGGGACUGGGAAUGGCUGGGAGGGAACUGGGAAUGGACUGGGAUAUACUGGGAAUGGACUGGGAGGGAGCUGGGUUAAACUGGGAACGGACUGGGAUAUACUGGGAGAGACUGGAAGGCACUGGGAUAUACUGGGAAUGGACUGGGAGGGAGUGGGAGGGACUGGGACAAACUGGGAUAUACUGGAUUAUACUGGGAGGGACUGGGAUGGACUGGGAGGGACUGGGAUGCCCCUGCUGGUUUAUACUGGUCCAUACUGGUCCAUACUGGUUUCCCUCCCCCAGGAGCCACCUGGACUGUGAGGCCAAGCAAUGGCGGUGAGGCCCCGCCCCUUUUCAUAUAUGGCCACGCCCACUUAAGCCCCACCCCUCUCUUUUUACCAUAUAAGGCACUGUUGCUAAGCCACGCCCCUUUUCCAUAUAUGGUAAUUAUAUGGCAAGCUUAAGCCCCGCCCCUUCCUUGCCAUAUAUGGCAGCAGUUUAAGCUCCACCCCCUUUUCCCAAUAUAAGGCAUUGUUUCUAUGCCACGCCCAUUUUCCAUAAAUAGUAAUAGGCUGCCAUUCUUAAGCCCCGCCCCUUCCUCACCACAUAUGGCAGGAGAGUUUAAACUCCACCCCCUUUCCCAUAUAUGGACAGGCCACGCCCCCACCCUUGUCAUAUAGGGCAUUACGCCCCACCCUCA